ACUAUCCAGCGAAACCAC
This 18-nucleotide small nuclear RNA is filed under the name Arabidopsis thaliana (thale cress). RNAcentral's name for it is "snRNA_15849". The record is from RNAcentral. Lineage: Eukaryota; Viridiplantae; Streptophyta; Magnoliopsida; Brassicales; Brassicaceae.